Molecule: long non-coding RNA, 950 nt
Organism: Homo sapiens (human)
Lineage: Eukaryota; Metazoa; Chordata; Mammalia; Primates; Hominidae
Gene: DLX2-DT
Product: DLX2 divergent transcript
Source: Ensembl
AACGCCCGGCCAAGGGGCGGGCGUCACAUGGUGGGCGCUGUGGCUGCGGCUGCGGCUGCAGCGGCCCCAGGUGCAAACAGACUGCCGCCGAAUGUGAGCAGCGAGGCGAGGGGUCGAGGUAGCGAGGAGUCAGGGUGGCCCGCAGCAGGAAGACAGAAGGCGUGGAGACAGACUGGCGUUUUGCCUCAGAGGAAGAAGUGGGGUCCCCUCUCCCAUUCUGUGAGCAAGUGCCAGUUCCAGUGAUUCGUACUUUCAUGUCCGAGUUGGAAACCUUGGCCCGACGGUGAUGGACUGCACGACUUGCUGGACUCCCAAGUCCGAAGUUCCUGCGGCAGCGCUUGCUUUGUGGCGCCACCUGGAACAUAGAGAACGGUGGGGGUAAAUAAGGGGAGCCUGAAGUUUCUGCUCUGUGCUUGCGUGUUCGAAUCCCAUCGCUGAGACUUUCUUCUGCUUUGGAUCGCUUGUCCCAGGCUGACGCCGCGCUGCGACCUCUCCCCUCGUAGGAGCCUAACGCCAACCCCUGCGCCAGGCAGGGAUGGAAUCAUCAUUCUCAUUGUAUAGAUGGACACUGAGGCUCGAGAACGGAAACGACUUCUUUUGAGUUGGGUGCCUCUCCCCCCUUGCCAGGCAGCCGCCUUUCUCUGUUGCCAUAGCACAAAUCACAAGGGUAUUUAUGGAACAAAAGCUCAGACCGCUGAGAUGUUCACUCUGCACUUUCAGCAGCACUCACAUUGAGAUAUGAGAAGACUGCAACAAGAACAAAAGGGUUGUGCCACCUCCUUUGGAUGUGAAGAGGAUGUGCUGACACGUGUGCUCGGGAGCCAGACUUUGUGGCCUUGGGGAAAGGACUGAAUAUUUCUGUGCUUCGUCGUUUGCAUCUGUGGAAUGCAGGUGAUACUGAGCUCUUCCUUGUGGGAUUAUUGCCUGGAAAUACACCAUUAUAGGUUCAU